GAUGAACGCUGGCGGCGCGCUUAACACAUGCAAGUCGAACGAAACACCUAAUUUGUUUUUCUUCGGAACUGAAUGUCUAAUGGUUGAGUGGCGCACGGGUAAGUAACGCGUGGGUGAGCUGCCAUGUACAGGGGGAUAUCAGACAGACAUAUCUGCUCAUACUGCAUAAUACCACAGCACCACAUGGUUCUGGUGUCAAGACUCCGGUGGUACAGGAUGGACCCGCGUCUGAUUAGCUGGUUGGUGAGGUAACGGCUCACCAAGGCGACGAUCAGUAGCCGGCUUGAGAGGGUGAACGGCCACAUUGGGACUGAGACACGGCCCAGACUCCUACGGGAGGCAGCAGUGGGGGAUAUUGCACAAUGGGGGAAACCCUGAUGCAGCGACGCCGCGUGGGGGAAGAAGGAUUUCGGAAUGUAAAGCUCUAUCAGUAGGGAAGAUAAUGACGGUACCUGACAAGAAAGCCCCGGCUAACUACGUG
RNAcentral lists this ribosomal RNA (481 nucleotides) under uncultured bacterium. RNAcentral's name for it is "partial 16S ribosomal RNA". It matches the Rfam family "Bacterial small subunit ribosomal RNA", at positions 28 to 507 of the family's 1533-position model. The record is from RNAcentral.